Molecule: long non-coding RNA, 241 nt
Filed under: Callithrix jacchus (white-tufted-ear marmoset)
Lineage: Eukaryota; Metazoa; Chordata; Mammalia; Primates; Cebidae
Description: lncRNA (ENSCJAG00000081701.1)
Source: RNAcentral
UUCCCAGCAUCCCUCAAGAGAUCCCAAAUAGUCACAACGUUUAUUUUAGCUUUGUGAAGCCUGACACAGAGAACUCAACUCAACCAACCCAGACUUCUGACCUACAGAACUGUGAGGCCAUUAAUCAUCAUAUUUAUUCUACCUUAUCCAACAUGAAAACCUUUUCCUGGAUUGAGUACAGAGCAGGUAAAGCUGAACAACAUUGCUUGCUCUAGUAUUUAUUAACAUGACACCAUCUGUU